Molecule: ribosomal RNA, 1583 nt
Filed under: Herpestes ichneumon (Egyptian mongoose)
Lineage: Eukaryota; Metazoa; Chordata; Mammalia; Carnivora; Herpestidae
Description: 16S ribosomal RNA
Rfam family: Bacterial large subunit ribosomal RNA
Source: RNAcentral
GCCAAAUCUAGCCCAAACAACAACAAAUUCAACUAACACAAUCACAUAAAUCAAAACAUUUAGUCAACUCAUAAAAGUAUAGGAGAUAGAAAUUUAACUUGGCGCUAUAGAGACAGUACCGUAAGGGAAAGAUGAAAGAAAACCUUCAAAGCACCACAUAGCAAAGAUUACCCCUUGUACCUUUUGCAUAAUGGAUUAGCUAGACAUAGUCUAACAAAGAGAACUUAAGCUAGACCCCCCCGAAACCAGACGAGCUACCUAUGAACAAUCUAUUACAGGAUGAACUCGUCUAUGUAGCAAAAUAGUGAGAAGAUUCAUAGGUAGAGGUGAAAAGCCUAACGAGCCUGGUGAUAGCUGGUUGCCCAGAAAAAGAAUUUUAGUUCAACUUUAAGCUUACCUGAAAAAACCCAGAAUUCAAAUGUAAGCUUAAAAUAUAGUCUAAAAAGGUACAGCUUUUUAGAACUAGGAUACAACCUUAAUUGGAGAGCAAGCAUUUUACACCAACCAUAGUUGGCCUAAGAGCAGCCAUCAAUUGAGAAAGCGUUCAAGCUCAACAACAAGACACACACUUAAUGUCAAAAAUAUGCAACCAACUCCCAACUUAAUACUGGGCCAAUCUAUUUAACAAUAGAAGCAACAAUGCUAGUAUGAGUAACAAGAAAUAUUUCUCCCUGCACAAGCCUAUAUCAGAACGGAUAACCACUGAUAGUUAACAACAAGAUAAAAACAAUCCAAACAUAAACCAAAUAUCAACCCAACUGUUAACCCAACACAGGUGUGCAAUUAAGGAAAGAUUAAAAGAAGUAAAAGGAACUCGGCAAACACAAGCCCCGCCUGUUUACCAAAAACAUCACCUCUAGCAUUUCUAGUAUUAGAGGCACUGCCUGCCCAGUGACAUUAGUUAAACGGCCGCGGUAUCCUGACCGUGCAAAGGUAGCAUAAUCAUUUGUUCCCUAAAUAGGGACUUGUAUGAAUGGCCACACGAGGGCUUAACUGUCUCUUACUUCCAAUCCGUGAAAUUGACCUUCCCGUGAAGAGGCGGGAAUAGAACAAUAAGACGAGAAGACCCUAUGGAGCUUCAAUUAACUGACCCAAAGAGAUAAAAACCUAACCAACAGGUAUAACAAGUCCCCACAUGGGCCAGCAAUUUAGGUUGGGGUGACCUCGGAGAACAAAAUAACCUCCGAGCGAUUUUAAAUCUAGACCUACCGGUCAAAAGUAUUACAUCACUUAUUGAUCCAAAACAUUUGAUCAACGGAACAAGUUACCCUAGGGAUAACAGCGCAAUCCUAUUCUAGAGCCCUUAUCGACAAUAGGGUUUACGACCUCGAUGUUGGAUCAGGACAUCCCGAUGGUGCAGCAGCUAUCAAGGGUUCGUUUGUUCAACGAUUAAAGUCCUACGUGAUCUGAGUUCAGACCGGAGCAAUCCAGGUCGGUUUCUAUCUAUUAGACAAUUCCUCCCAGUACGAAAGGACAAGAGAAAUAAGGCCCACUUCACAAAAGCGCCUUCAGUAAAAUAGAUGAUAUAAUCUCAAUCUAAACAACUCACCCACCACAUACUUUUAGCCCAAGAGCCAGGGCUU